GAGGGUGGGCCCCUCGGAACCGCCUUACAGGAGGAGGUUUCAAACCGGUGUAUGCGGCUUUGGUAAAGAGCCAUGGUCGUGAGCGAUACAUUUAAAAGCCAGUCCAAAGGCUGGCAGGU
RNAcentral lists this non-coding RNA (119 nucleotides) under Sunxiuqinia elliptica. Lineage: Bacteria; Pseudomonadati; Bacteroidota; Bacteroidia; Marinilabiliales; Prolixibacteraceae. The record is from RNAcentral.